This 483-nucleotide ribosomal RNA is filed under the name uncultured bacterium. Its description in RNAcentral is "bacterial SSU rRNA". It matches the Rfam family "Bacterial small subunit ribosomal RNA", at positions 8 to 500 of the family's 1533-position model. The record is from RNAcentral.
AGAGUUUGAUCAUGGCUCAGGACGAACGCUGGCGGCGUGCCUAACACAUGCAAGUCGAGCGAUGAAACCCUUCGGGGUGGAUUAGCGGCGGACGGGUGAGUAACACGUGGGUAACCUGCCUCAAAGAGGGGAAUAGCCUCCCGAAAGGGAGAUUAAUACCGCAUAAUAUGUUUUGGUCGCAUGGCCGAAACAUCAAAGGAUUUUCUUCGGAAAUUCCACUUUGAGAUGGACCCGCGGCGCAUUAGCUAGUUGGUGAGGUAACGGCUCACCAAGGCGACGAUGCGUAGCCGACCUGAGAGGGUGAUCGGCCACAUUGGAACUGAGACACGGUCCAGACUCCUACGGGAGGCAGCAGUGGGGAAUAUUGCGCAAUGGGGGAAACCCUGACGCAGCAACGCCGCGUGAAUGAUGAAGGCCUUCGGGUUGUAAAGUUCUGUCUUCUGGGACGAUAAUGACGGUACCAGAGGAGGAAGCCACGGCUAA